AUGAGUUUUUCAUUAAUUUUUCCCAAAAGAAUUGAAAAAUGAAAAGUUGACCUGGUGAGUUAGUUAGGGAGAGAAGAGAUCCAUUCUUCUUCUUCGUGAAGACCAUAAGCAGCAAAGAGACGAAGUCUCUGUUCUCCUCUCCUCCUCCAAGAUCUUAUUUUCUUUAUAUUUCUCAAAAUACAAGCCCAAAUUUGAUGCCGUUUUCAACCACGAGAUCCAUGAAACGAGCUCUAAAUAUCAAGCUUGAAGUGUUGUUUGAGUUGCUUAUGAGCUCGGGAAGCUAAUUUGACGAAUUGGGGACUCGAUUGAUACUUUUGGAAACAUAAACUGCAACCAUGCCUUUGAGAAGAGCCUUUGAAUCUGCUUCUGUAAGCCUGCUGCUUAACAAGUUGGCCAAUCAAGAUGUAAUUGAUUUUUUCCUCAAGUGGAAACUGGACAGCUCGCUCUUAACAAAGCUCAAGACAAAUUUGCACAUAAUUCAUGCAGUUCUCAAUCAUGCUGAGGAGAAGCAAGUCAAAGACUUAUAUGUCAAAGCUUGGAUUGAAGAGGUCAGGGUUGCAGCCUAUGAUGCUGAGGACAUUGUGGAUGAGCUUGCUAACGAUGCGCUUGAAUCG
This 614-nucleotide small RNA is filed under the name Malus domestica (apple). RNAcentral describes it as "sRNA MD07G0019700". Lineage: Eukaryota; Viridiplantae; Streptophyta; Magnoliopsida; Rosales; Rosaceae. The record is from RNAcentral.